AGUAAGAAGGAUUUUGAGCAAAGAUUCUGCACAUGAGUCUGAUUCAAAAGGAGGAUAAAACACAUAAUCAGCUGCAGCAGGUCCUUUGCAUACAGUAGCUGUUACCUCACAAACAGACUGGGAUCCUUCACUAAAGACACAAGGUACUGAGUGCCAGUUCCGUCCCCACUUUCAGUCCAUUGUAUGCCCACACCCUGCCCACCAGUGUCAAAAAUGUGGUGCAAGGAGCUCUCAGUUGUUUGACAAGAUUCUCACCCAAUAGCUGUAAUGAUCAAAUCUACAGCAACUCUGUGUGAAAACAGAGGAACGGGGCUGAUGGAGAAAGUUCAGUUCUUCAAAGCUAAGAUAGCUGCAAACAGACACCAUUAAUCAUCCCUCUGCCAAGAUCUUCUUCCCACACCAGGCUUUACUGUACAUUCCUUGCAUUUCCAUACCAUGAUGUCAGUCCAGC
RNAcentral lists this long non-coding RNA (451 nucleotides) under Manacus vitellinus (golden-collared manakin). RNAcentral describes it as "lncRNA (ENSMVIG00005012463.1)". Lineage: Eukaryota; Metazoa; Chordata; Aves; Passeriformes; Pipridae. The record is from RNAcentral.